AUUGAACGCUGGCGGCAUGCCUUACACAUGCAAGUCGAACGGUAACGGGCCUUCGGGUGCCGACGAGUGGCGCACGGGUGAGUAAUACAUCGGAACGUGCCCGAUCGUGGGGGAUAACGAGGCGAAAGCUUUGCUAAUACCGCAUACGAUCUACGGAUGAAAGCAGGGGACCGCAAGGCCUUGCGCGGACGGAGCGGCCGAUGGCAGAUUAGGUAGUUGGUGGGAUAAAAGCUUACCAAGCCGACGAUCUGUAGCUGGGCUGAGAGGAUGAUCAGCCACACUGGGACUGAGACACGGCCCAGACUCCUACGGGAGGCAGCAGUGGGGAAUUUUGGACAAUGGGCGCAAGCCUGAUCCAGCCAUGCCGCGUGCAGGAUGAAGGCCUUCGGGUUGUAAACUGCUUUUGUACGGAACGAAAAGCCUUCUUUUAAUACAGGAGGGUCAUGACGGUACCGUAAGAAUAAGCACCGGCUAACUACGUG
Molecule: ribosomal RNA, 482 nt
Filed under: uncultured bacterium
Lineage: Bacteria
Description: partial 16S ribosomal RNA
Rfam family: Bacterial small subunit ribosomal RNA
Source: RNAcentral